UCAAACAAUGGGCAAACUCGCCGAAAGGCGGGGACGCAAAGCUUCCGGUCUACAGGAAUCAUUCCCAGGACAGCGGGGUUGCCGCG
This 86-nucleotide non-coding RNA is filed under the name Steroidobacter denitrificans. Its description in RNAcentral is "c-di-GMP sequence". It matches the Rfam family "c-di-GMP-I riboswitch aptamer". From Rfam's summary of the family: GEMM was predicted in a large-scale screen for bacterial structured RNA regulatory elements. Genes associated with GEMM are involved in a diverse array of functions, including chemotaxis regulation, signal transduction, secretion and chitin. The record is from Rfam by way of RNAcentral. Lineage: Bacteria; Pseudomonadati; Pseudomonadota; Gammaproteobacteria; Steroidobacterales; Steroidobacteraceae.